GGGCUGCACCUGCAGCAAACAGAGGUUCCCAGGCGAGGGGUCAAACGGGAGCUGCAGCUGCCAGCUAAGCCACAACCAUAGCAACACCAGAUCUGAGCGUGUCUUCCACCUACACUGCAGCUCAUGGCAUCACUGAAUCCUUAACCCGCUGAGUGGGGCCAGGAAUCAAACCCGCAUCCUUGUGGAUACUAGAAGUGUUCGUUAUUGCAGAGCCACAAUGGGAACUCCCGAGUAUAUUCUAUUGAAUGUUUAUGUUCGCUUAAUAGGAAUCAUAAUUUUCCUAAGCUCGUAAUGAUUAUUUUUACAUUUUUUUUUUGCUGGAGUGAAUUUGAACUUGCCAUUUCUCCUUCAAAUACAAUGAUGAUAUAUUUGUAGUUUUCAGAUUGUCAAGUAGAGUUGAGGUAAAUAUAAGCUUGAAAGGAAAACAGAAACUUAUUGGAUUCUGAAAAAAAACAUUCUGGAAAACACUACACACAACUUUAAAUGAUUUUUUUCAUUGUUUUCUGUGUUCGAUAGUAUGGGAAAAAUGGGUUUAAUUAAACUGGAGGAAAUAAAUCAAAAGGAAGGGCUGAUAACUAUUUAUACUUGAUCUUAGCCAAAAGGCCAAGAUGUGAUGAUAACUAUUUAAAGUAGCCAAGACAUGGAAGCAACCUUAAUUCCGUUGACAGAGGAAUGAAUAAAGAAGAUGUGGUACAUAUAUACGAUGGAGUAUUACUCAGCCAUAAAAAAUGAAUGAAUAAUGCCAUUUGCAGCAACAUGGAUGGACCUAGAGAUUAUUAUACUAAGUGAAGUCAGUCAGAGAAUGACAGUAUCAUAUGAUGUCAUUAUGUGUAGAAUCUAAAAAAAAAAAAUGAUAAAAAUGAAGUUAUUACAAAAUGGAAACAGACUCAUAUAGACUUAGGAAACAAACUUAUGGUUACCAGAGGAGACACAUAGAGGGGAGGGGUAAAUUAGGAAUUUGGAAUUAAUAUAUACACACCACUGUAUACUAACAAGGACCUUCUGUAUAGCACUCUAUUCAACAUUCUGUAAUAACCCUUAUGGGAAAAGAAUUUGGAAAAGAAGAGAUAUGUGUAUAUGUAUAACUGAAUCACUUUGCUGUACACCUGAAACUAACACAACAUUGCAAAUCAACUAUACUCCAAUAUAACAUAAAAAUUAAUAAAAAAUGCAUCAGAAAAACAUAAAAAAAGGAAGUGACCUAUGAACUGAAAGCAAACAUCGUCAACCACUCUAAUUUUUCUUCCUUCUGUAAAUGAUAUAUAGCAGGAUUGGAAGCAAAAAACCUUUUACCAUUCUUUCUGUGCUUUUUUUUUUUUUGCACAAAUGCCUUCCUUAAUGUUGAUAAUGAUCAGGCAGCGUGGCUCAAGGCGGUUCUUCUAUAUCGUGAUACUCAGAUACUUCAUGUAAACUAUCAAUUAUUAGAUUACAGCACCAAUUAACUACUUUAUAGGGCAUUCUCUAAACAUGGUAAAUGGGCAUCAUCUAUGGGUAUGUUUGUAUAUGACCGAUCUGUUCAUCUUUAGUUUUUUAUUAUUCAGAAAACCUCAGGUGCCUAAGCAGUUGUUCCCAUUAUUGAUGUUUUUCGGUUUCAAAAUGUGAUAUGCCAACGCAAGCUUCUGACAUUUCUUCAUUUCGCUUUUUGGAGACUUGUUUCUGCAACCCACAAAUUCUUGAUGCCUUCCUUUUGUAAGGAUGCUAGUAUGAAGUUCAGUGAGGAAGUGAUUUAGGAAUUAAAAGGUUGAUUAUAAGAGCCCUGGGAUUUACUAGCUGUGUAAUUUUGAGCUGGCUGCUUCUCUCAGAGACACCUUCCCUAUCUGCAAUCUGGGACUGAUCAUAGAGGCCUCAGGGGCUUGUUUAUAUCCAGUAGUGUGUGAGAAAUUAUGCAAUAAAAUUUACAGUGACACAUAAGGUGAUGUUAGAAAUGUAAGGUGAUGUUCAUGCUGACAUUGACCUUUUUCUAAAGACAUUUUCAUUUCAAACCAGAGAGACUUGUAAUUUUCUUUUCUUUUUUUUUUUUCCUUUAAGAGAGCUCUAGAAUCACCACCUUAGCAUUGACUGUUUCUUGGUGUCCCUACUAUGCUUUAAAUUUACCUCUUUUAUUAAGUCUACCUCUUUGAAUCUCUACCCACAACAUGGAGAUGCAUUUAUGUGCAUAUUUAUAUAUAUCUCCCAUGGAUUUAGUUCCUUGAGAGCAGAGAAAAAGUGUCUUGGUCAUCUUUGUAUCCAUAGCAUCGAGUACAGGGUUUGCCAAUAGUAUGCUCUUGCAAGUCACUAUUGAAUUAGAUUUCAUUUGGAAGACAAGAAAGCAGGAAUUGUAUGUUCUCUUCUUUCACUUGAUUUUCUUUUCUUAAAUAAAAUAGAGUUUGCCUUCAAAAAGAGUGGUUUAUACUGGGCCAACUUUAUUUUAAACAUUAAGAUUUUUAUGAAAGGGGAAACAAAUAGUAGGAGUUAGGUUGUAUUCAUAUGCCUUUCUUUCAUCUUUACUGUAACCUUUAAAAAAAUGUGUUGCUGUCAAAUGACUGCUUCGGUAUGGAAAACAAUUACUUUUUGUUAUGAAUAAUUACCUUUCUCCCUUAAAGAAUAUUGUUGAAAUACUUCGGAUGUGAUAAAUUCAUUUGAGUAAUAAAAAAAAGAAUGUUGUUGAAAUAAAUAAUAGCAAAGUACACUUUUCUUUUUUAACAAGGUACAACCUUGUUAGAAAGUACUUUGUGAAUUCAAUUUCAAGAAUAACUUUAUAUUAAUUCUAAAAUAUAAAGAAACUUGAAAAGUGAGUUUGAAUCAUUGACUUUAUAUCUUCUGAAUUUGUUUUUUUUUUUUUUAAUUUAUUUGCUUUAUGGGGCUAUACCUGCAAUGUGGCUCGGAUCUUGUGUUGCUGCGGCUGUGGUGUAGGCCUGCAGUUAUAGCUCUGAUUCGACCCCUAGCCUGGGAACCUCCAUAUGCUGCAGCUGCAAUCCUUAGAAAGAAAGAAAGAAAGAAAGAAAGAAAGAAAGAAAGAAAGAAAGAAAGAAAGAAA
This 3016-nucleotide long non-coding RNA is filed under the name Sus scrofa (pig). RNAcentral's name for it is "lncRNA (ENSSSCG00030068228.1)". Lineage: Eukaryota; Metazoa; Chordata; Mammalia; Artiodactyla; Suidae. The record is from RNAcentral.